GGACCCGCACAAGCGGUGGAUGAUGUGGAUUAAUUCGAUGCAACGCGAAAAACCUUACCUACCCUUGACAUGGAAGGAAUCCCUGAGAGAUUGGGGAGUGCUCGAAAGAGAACCUUUACACAGGUGCUGCAUGGCUGUCGUCAGCUCGUGUCGUGAGAUGUUGGGUUAAGUCCCGCAACGAGCGCAACCCUUGUCAUUAGUUGCUACGAAAGGGCACUCUAAUGAGACUGCCGGUGACAAACCGGAGGAAGGUGGGGAUGACGUCAAGUCCUCAUGGCCCUUAUGGGUAGGGCUUCACACGUCAUACAAUGGUACAUACAGAGGGCCGCCAACCCGCGAGGGGGAGCUAAUCCCAGAAAGUGUAUCGUAGUCCGGAUUGUAGUCUGCAACUCGACUACAUGAAGUUGGAAUCGCUAGUAAUCGCGGAUCAGCAUGUCGCGGUGAAUACGUUCCCGGGUCUU
RNAcentral lists this ribosomal RNA (461 nucleotides) under uncultured bacterium. RNAcentral's name for it is "bacterial SSU rRNA". It matches the Rfam family "Bacterial small subunit ribosomal RNA", at positions 917 to 1382 of the family's 1533-position model. The record is from RNAcentral.